Molecule: ribosomal RNA, 253 nt
Filed under: uncultured bacterium
Lineage: Bacteria
Description: partial 16S ribosomal RNA
Rfam family: Bacterial small subunit ribosomal RNA
Source: RNAcentral
UACGGAGGGUGCAAGCGUUAUCCGGAUUCACUGGGUUUAAAGGGUGCGUAGGUGGGCAAGUAAGUCAGUGGUGAAAUCUCCGGGCUUAACCCGGAAACUGCCAUUGAUACUAUUUGUCUUGAAUACUGUGGAGGUCAGCGGAAUAUGUCAUGUAGCGGUGAAAUGCUUAGAUAUGACAUAGAACACCAAUUGCGAAGGCAGCUGGCUACACAAAUAUUGACACUGAGGCGCGAAAGCGUGGGGAGCAAACAGG